This 253-nucleotide ribosomal RNA is filed under the name uncultured bacterium. RNAcentral describes it as "partial 16S ribosomal RNA". It matches the Rfam family "Bacterial small subunit ribosomal RNA", at positions 524 to 776 of the family's 1533-position model. The record is from RNAcentral.
UACGUAGGGGGCAAGCGUUGUCCGGAUUUAUUGGGCGUAAAGAGCGUGUAGGCGGCCAGAUAGGUCGGUUGUGAAAACUGGAGGCUCAACCUUCAGAGGUCGACCGAAACCAUCUGGCUAGAGUCCGGGAGAGGAGAGUGGAAUUCCUGGUGUAGCGGUGAAAUGCGCAGAUAUCAGGAAGAACACCCGUGGCGAAGGCGGCUCUCUGGGACGGUACUGACGCUGAGACGCGAAAGCGUGGGGAGCGAACAGG